CGAGUUUACAACUCCCAAACCCAAUGUGAACGUUACCAAACUGUUGCCUCGGCGGGAUCUCUGCCCCGGGUGCGUCGCAGCCCCGGACCAAGGCGCCCGCCGGAGGACCAACCAAAACUCUUUUUGUAUACCCCCUCGCGGGUUUUUUUAUAAUCUGAGCCUUCUCGGCGCCUCUCGUAGGCGUUUCGAAAAUGAAUCAAAACUUUCAACAACGGAUCUCUUGGUUCUGGCAUCGAUGAAGAACGCAGCGAAAUGCGAUAAGUAAUGUGAAUUGCAGAAUUCAGUGAAUCAUCGAAUCUUUGAACGCACAUUGCGCCCGCCAGUAUUCUGGCGGGCAUGCCUGUCCGAGCGUCAUUUCAACCCUCGAACCCCUCCGGGGGGUCGGCGUUGGGGAUCGGCCCUCCCUUAGCGGGUGGCCGUCUCCGAAAUACAGUGGCGGUCUCGCCGCAGCCUCUCCUGCGCAGUAGUUUGCACACUCGCAUCGGGAGCGCGGCGCGUCCACAGCCGUUAAACACCCAACUUCUGAAAUGUUGACCUCGGAUCAGGUAGGAAUACCCGC
RNAcentral lists this ribosomal RNA (559 nucleotides) under fungal isolate from Newtonia buchananii wood. RNAcentral describes it as "eukaryotic LSU rRNA". The stretch from base 201 to 354 matches the Rfam family "5.8S ribosomal RNA". Lineage: Eukaryota; Fungi. The record is from RNAcentral.